UAAUUUUAUUAUUAUUUUUUAUAUUUUAUUUUAUAAUUUAUAAGUUUUAAUAGGAAAAAUUUAAUGGGAUAAUCUUUUAAUUUUAAUUUUAUAAAUUUUGUCAAUUAUUAAUAUUUUGUAUAAUUUAAAUUGUUAAUCAUAUAGAAGUUAAUAUUUUUUUAUUUUAUUAAUAAAAUUUUAUAAUUUUUAAUUUUUAUAUUAAAAUUUUAAAUUUAAUUGUUAAUUUUAAUUAAUAAUGAUUAAAUUAGUAAAUAAAAUAUUCAUUUAAUAUGAAAAUUUAAGGUUAAAAUAAGGAAUUCGGCAAAUUAAAAUUUUUCGCCUGUUUAUUAAAAACAUGUCUUUUUGAUUAUAAUUUAAGGUUUAAUCUGCUCAAUGAUUAAUUAAAUAGCCGCAGUAUUUUGACUGUGCAAAGGUAGCAUGAUAAUUAGUUUGUUAAUUGUGAACUUGUAUGAAUGAUUGGACGAGAAAAUUUCUGUCUCUUUUUAAUUUUUAUUUAAUUUAACUUUUAAGUUAAAAGGCUUAAAUUUAUAUAAAAGACGAGAAGACCCCAUAGAGUUUAAUUUUAGAUAGUAUUUAGAAUAAAUUUAUAAAUAAUAAAAAUUGGUUGGGGUGACUUAAAGAUUUAAUUAACUCUUUAAAUUAAGAUCAUAGAUUGAUGAAUUUUAAAUCUGAAAAUUUUCAAUUUUAAAUUAAGUUACCUUGGGGAUAACAGCGUAAUUUCUUUUAGAGUUCUUAUCGAAUGAGAAGAUUGCGACCUCGAUGUUGGAUUAAAGUUAAAUUAAGGCGCAGAAGUCUUAUAUUUAAGUCUGUUCGA
RNAcentral lists this ribosomal RNA (814 nucleotides) under Lucidina biplagiata. RNAcentral's name for it is "partial 16S rRNA". The stretch from base 291 to 479 matches the Rfam family "Archaeal large subunit ribosomal RNA", at positions 1804 to 2099 of the family's 2987-position model. Lineage: Eukaryota; Metazoa; Arthropoda; Insecta; Coleoptera; Lampyridae. The record is from RNAcentral.